ACGUAGGCACCAAGCGUUGUCCGGAUUUAUUGGGCGUAAAGAGCUCGUAGGCUGUUCAGUUAGUUGGGUGUGAAAACUCCGGGCUUAACCCGGAGCCGCCACCCAAUACUGCUGUGACUAGAGUUCGGUAGGGGAGCGGGGAAUUCCUAGUGUAGCGGUGAAAUGCGCAGAUAUUAGGAGGAACACCGGUGGCGAAGGCGCCGCUCUGGGCCGAAACUGACGCUGAGGAGCGAAAGCAUGGGUAGCAAACAGG
Molecule: ribosomal RNA, 253 nt
Filed under: uncultured bacterium
Lineage: Bacteria
Description: partial 16S ribosomal RNA
Rfam family: Bacterial small subunit ribosomal RNA
Source: RNAcentral